Molecule: ribosomal RNA, 493 nt
Filed under: uncultured bacterium
Lineage: Bacteria
Description: bacterial SSU rRNA
Rfam family: Bacterial small subunit ribosomal RNA
Source: RNAcentral
GGCGGCGUGCCUAACACAUGCAAGUCGUACGAGAAAGUCGGCUUCGGCUGAUGAGUAAAGUGGCGCACGGGUGAGUAACGCGUGGAUAAUCUGCCUUUUAGUUGGGAAUAACGUACCGAAAGGUGCGCUAAUACCGGAUAAUACUGCAUAACUACUGUUGUGUAGUCAAAGAAGGCCUCUGUUUACAAGCUUUUGCUGAAAGAUGAGUCCGCGUACCAUUAGCUAGUUGGUAGGGUAAUGGCCUACCAAGGCUACGAUGGUUAGCUGGUCUGAGAGGAUGAUCAGCCACACUGGAACUGAGACACGGUCCAGACUCCUACGGGAGGCAGCAGUGAGGAAUAUUGCGCAAUGGGGGCAACCCUGACGCAGCAACGCCGCGUGAGUGAGGAAGGUUUUCGGACCGUAAAGCUCUGUCGAGCGGGAAGAAAUGUAUCGUGGCUAAUAUCCAUGAUAUUUGACGGUACCGCUAGAGGAAGCACCGGCUAACUCCGUG